This 1131-nucleotide long non-coding RNA is filed under the name Citrus sinensis (sweet orange). Its description in RNAcentral is "long non-coding RNA (CSIN_LNC002885)". The record is from RNAcentral. Lineage: Eukaryota; Viridiplantae; Streptophyta; Magnoliopsida; Sapindales; Rutaceae.
AACAAUCGUUUGAUAACUUCUUGUUCCAUGAUCAUUAUUUGAUGUAUUAGAGGUCAUAUGAAAAGAAAAUGUACUACCUUCCAAAAAAUUUGAUAUCAAAGAGAAUAUAAACAACGCGAAAAAAACACUUAAUGAGGCUUGACAACAAAAAGGAAUAGACCCAUUCAUUGCAUAUGCUAAGCACAAAUCUUUACAGCAUAUGCUCUCAAUAAUUGUUCAACACAGAUGUAAUUUCUGCCCUACCAUAUCAGAUCCAGAGUAUCUAAAAACAGUUAAAAGGAAGAAAAGCGAAAAGCUAGACGGGAUUCUCCUAAAGUCAUUUAACAGUAUGGUGAAAUUAAGGCAAUCAACAACAAGAUGGCAUCCCAAGUUUUCCUUUUACAAAAGUGUUUGCGUAUCAUCGUAUGUACAAUGCCAUCCUCCAAACAUAAAGUAAUAUAUCAUAAAAAUGUCUUAAGUCCACACCACGUCCAAUUAAGUUUUGUCAGAUCUUCGUAAGGGUUUAAAUCUCAGCUGUGAAUUUGUCAAAUCCAGUAGAUAUACAACAGGGUAUCCAUGAAUGUGGGUAAAUAUGUGACUGAUAAACUUGAAAAAUUCUCACACUUAGAAAAUAAAUUAAAUUAAACAUGCCCACUGUUUUAAUAAAUGUGCCAUAAGAGGCACCGUCUCAAAACAACUGACAAACUGUGUCUUUCAUUGCUCUAGAUCAUAUAAAUUUGUGCCACUAAGGGAGACUGUGGUUUACUCUAACAGCACAAAUACCCAUCAGUGUGAUUAACAAAAUCAUCUAACAUUUACAAAAUCAUCUAACAUUUACAAAAUCUAGAGUCAAGAAUCCAGACACAAUUACCAAACUUCAAUUAAUACUUGUACCACAAAACACCAAAAACCACAACAUUAUGCAAGCAAAAUCAGACUCAUAAAAUCAAAAUAGUGCAAAAAACCAAACCUAGCAUUCAAUUGGAGGUGGGGGUGGAGGUGGAGGUGGCAUCAUAGCUGUGCUGAAGAAGAUCGUCAUAAGGGUCCCUUCUGCCAGGCACUUGGCUAAUCUGAGGAUCCCAACGGAGUUGGGAAUUGUGACGUUCAAAUGUCCAAAAUCCGUAGGGACGCAGAGGAUAGCUCCACAUCUCU